GAAGAAAAAAAUCUUCUAAUUAUAUAAGAAUAUGUGGUGUUUCAUCCCGUAUGUCAUACACAUUAAAAAAUCUCUCCAAUUUCAUAUAAGUUGCCUUCCGAUUUUAGAGGGAUUUUAUAGAAAUACAUAUGAGUUGGGUUGAACUUAAUUUCCCCUUUGUGCUUAAUUUGGUAAGUUUACGUAUUUGAGCAUGAAUAAGUUUUUGAUUAACUUGUAGCUAUGAGACUUUACCAUUUGCACUAAGCUUAUGAAUUGUGCUAACCAUAACAAAUUGCCCAGUGGUGAGGGCGAAAAUUUCGACUCCCAAAAUACAAAAAAAAAGGAAGAUUUCGGAUUCGAGAUUCCAAGCUGGUGAGUCUGCUUGACUGUGGUCAAUGGGAUGCUGAAAUGUCUUUGUGAGUUUUCCCAGCCCCCAGAAUGGAUGGAUAACCGUAGCUUGCCAUCAGUUGUCCUCAUUUUUUAAAUAAAAAAUGGUUAUGAAUUUUGCUUUAAAUCGUUCUUAUAUGAAAAUAAAAAUUGUUGCAUGUAUUACUAAACAAAACAAAAAAAUUAAGGGAACUUUAACGAAAAACUCGCAGUACUGUUCAUUUAACAAAAAAAAAAUCAUAUUUUUACACUAAAAAAUCAAUCAUGAUAUUAUUCACUUUACUCUUUAUUUUGUUCUUAUCGUUAAAACUCAAAGUUUUCAAGUCAUUUUCAUUAAUUUUCCUAAAAAUUAAGAGUAAUGAUAUUUAUAUCAUAUUUUUGUACCACAUUUUCAUACCUUCUUAGGUGGCAUUUGAUGUGAAUAGCCAUAUCAUUUGAAUUAAUCAGAUUUUUAAAUUUAGUUCAUUAUUUAAUAAACUAAUAAUUGAGAAAAAAACUAGUUAAUUAAAUGAUGAUUGUGGUAUACGAGAAGUCUUUCUUCUUCAUUUCCUAAGGUGGUAUAGAAAUGUGGGACUAGGAUUCUCUCCCCUCCUCUCACAUUAUCUUAUUGUCAUUUUCUUGCUAUAAAAAAUUAAUAUAAGAUAUUGACGUGGUUUAACCGUGACUGUUCAAAGAAAAAAAAAGAAGGGAAAGGAAGAGGAAAAAAGAGAAAAGAGAAUCCUAAGGCAGAAAGGAAGGUAGUGCCACUUGGCAGAGAGCAUCGAGUGACGCGCCGGCUUACAGGACUUUUGACUUUAUUCUUCGCCGGCGACGACCUCCACCCGCGUACAAAGAACAACACCCCAAACCCAACUAAACUACCUGAAAAAGAAAUACAACUAACCAAUAAUUUUCUCUAUCCGAAAACGAAACAAACAUAAAUUUUUAUACUUAAAAAUUCCCAACCAUUGCUUUCUCUGGAAGUCAUCAUUUUGCCCUCUUUCCUUCUUCUUCUUGUUCUUCUAUUUUGUCCCUUUUUCUUGCUUUUUUUCAAACCCCAAAAUCCCUUUUUUCAACGACAGAGCUGGCGCUCAGCUCGCAUUUUACAUAACCCAGUUUUCAGAAUCCCCCCGAAACUUAGUUUGCAGUCCUGCUUUUCCCACAAGUGCUUUUGUUCUGUUUCUUGAAGACGCUCACGGGUUCUCCAUGGACAGAGUCGGACUUGGACCGCUCCAUUUAAUCCCAAUCUGUACGUUUUUUUUCCCCAGCAACAAUUCUUUCUCUGAAUCUUUGUUUUUUUUCUUUUUUUGGGUUUUUGUGGUGGGUUUUGAAUCCUUUGUUGAAGAAUGAGUCAGCUCAGUCUGUUAUUGCAGGAAGCGGUGCGGCGGGAGAGGGCGGCGAGGACGGUCCUCGAGGUUCUGAGAGAGCAAAUGGACGACGCGGGUGAAGCGAGGGGGGUUUUGGGCAGGCGGAGCUUCAAGCAACGGCUGAGACUGAACGGGUUCGGAUGCUGUGGGGCCACCUGGGGCUUCGGACGGACGGCGGCGAUUGGCGCCAGAGAGGAUGAGGAAGAUCAAGACCCGCAAAAUCUUCCGCCACAAGAACGAGUGGUUAUAACUGUGGACCAGGCUGAACCGGUUAAUAUUUGGAAUCCGGAUUGCGUUGCUCCGGUUUCGAACGGGUCGGGUAUGAAUUUAGCUGCCGCUCUGGCAGCCGAGCGACAGUUCCGGGAUCCGCAGGAUACGGAGGGAGAGGGGUCGGUGGGUCCCGCGGAUAAUGCAAGGACGGGAACAACGGCGCCGGGAACGCCGAUGAGAGUGUCGCUGAUGAGGCUGCUUGAGGAGACGGAGAUGGACGGCUGCGACGCGUUUGGCGGUGGCGCGACGGCGGACAGUGAAAAAGCAGCGGAGGGAGGGAUAGGGAGCGAUUCGAUGUGCUGCGUGUGCAUGGGAAGGAAAAAAGGCGCGGCUUUCAUCCCAUGUGGGCACACAUUUUGCAGGGUGUGUUCGAGGGAGGUGUGGUUGAAUCGAGGUUCCUGUCCCCUCUGCAACCGUUCGAUCCUCGAGAUCCUCGAUAUAUUCUAAUGAUCGUCCGAUUUCAUUGGAUGAUCAAAGAAAUAACAAAAAAAACCAGAAAAUAUUUGAUGUGAUUGUUUGUGGGAAGAUGCCUCGAGAUUGGUGCAUUGUUGAAACUUUGAUGGUGGAAUUUUCAAAUCCAAUUCAAUUUGUUCACAUGUAAUAUGGGGUUCUUGAAUUUAAUUAGUGUUUCUAUCACUCUAUUUUUCUGCAACUUGAAGGGUACAAUGUGAAUUUUGCGUACAUUUUUAUGGUAAUUUUUUGUUUUGAAGUUAUGUUUCUUGUGAUGGCAUUGGUAUCUCACGUUCUCAAAACAACUAUGCACUAUCACACGUUUAAUUUUCGUAAGUAAUAAUACAUGUUAUUUUAGUCGUUAUGUAAUAAGUUUGAGUUUCGACCGGUACACUUUAUAUGACUUUAAGUAAAACAUCACUUGUACAUAUAAUUUAAAGUCACAUAUUUUUUUUUCUACGUAACAAUAGUAACAAUGCAUUAUUUUCUUGAAAUAUUGUCCCAAUGGCACCAGAAACGUAAAUGCUUUGUUCUCAUAAAAUAUAUAAUAUUAACCCUACCUUUGACUGAAGAAGCUAAUUGUCAGAUAAACAUGUUUGAUUUCUUUGGAGGCACAUGUACAAGGAAGCUUUUGUUAAAACAAAAGCAACUGUCGUCUUUUAAAUUUGUCGCUAAAAAAAAAGCUUGAAACGUUGGCUUUUGUUUGUGUUUCAAAUGGAAUCUUGACGAACAUUUGGGGUGGGUUGGACCAACCACAACUACCAUCAACUUAUAAGUUGGUGGGCAGAAAUUGGUGGUUGUGCGAAUCCAUUUAUGUAGGCUUUAGAUAAUGUGUUAUUUUUUCCAAGCCCAUAGAAAAACGUCCAAUGUUGCACGAAGUUGGGCCUAGGUCCUUCGGUUCUAUCAUCUUCUGGUUACCGCUGGGGAUUCAAUGGGUUUUUUCCCAUACGUAUUAAAAGUGCAUAUUUAAGUUACAUAUGAGAACAAGAGUCGUUGGAUUCUGUAAGAACAAACAACUUAGCAACUCUUGUUCUCACGUGUAGCUUAAAUGUGUAUACUUUUGGCAUGCAUUUGAGGAAGCCUCGAAAAUUUCAACCUACCAUCAAAUCAUUAUUAAGAAGUUCAUCGCGAUGUUAUCUCCAAAUUAAUCAAAUACUCUGAUGUGCAAUCGUAAUUUGUUGACCUAAAUCACGUAUGAAUAGCACCACGGAAUUUGGAUCUAGCAAUUCGAAGGAGAUGCCCUGUUAUUAAUUAUAUAUUUUUGACCGAAGUAAAGAAUAUAGGUAAACUUAUGAUAUAUCAAUCUGCAUGGCAUAUAAGUAUCAAAAGAUUCAUGUAUACAUUUUUCAUGUAAAAGGUGGGGAUCAUUUUCAUGUAUAUACGUGUAUAUAGUAAACGAAUAUAGAGAAUGACUUGUAUGGCACAAUGCUAUCUAGCUAUCUUGUGUUCAACCUAUUUUUUCACAUGAAAAAAGAAUCCAAGCUUUGUUGUAUAUUUUUGAAUUUUUAUAAAAAAAAAAAAAAAAAACAAAAAUCCCUUGUUUUUUUGGCGAUGGAUUAUCUUCUUUUUUCAUUGUUUUUGUUUUAGUACAAUAAUCACAUUAUCGCAUGAUUUUAUUAACUCAAGCAUGUAUCAUAAUAUGAGUAGACAACAUUACAUGGCAAAACAAAUUUGAUCACAAUCUUGUGAUAUGAAUCUUUUCUUCUUCUUUUCUGUUCGAAAUGAUAAUCAAAUAUGAAUCUAGUCGCCCAUAACAUUGCAUGCGGGAUGGACCCCAUUUAUGACUUAUCCAAAUUCUCAAUCACAUGACCGAAUGAGCUACCGGUCAAAUUUUUGCACGAUCAAAGAAGAAAGAAUCUCUUCAGGGAGGGUCCACUUUAUUAUGUACCUGAUCAAUUGAUAUAUUACCUCAUCACAUCAAGGAUCUUAUACGAGCAAUCCUAAUGAUUUGGAUCCUCUCCAAAGCAGGGUCCGAAUCCUCCUAACCAGAUAACAUAGAUUGUUGAAUUUUGAUACAACGGUUAUAAUUAUUAUAACUUUUAGAGGGAUCCUCUAAUUGUACCUAUUGGAUCAAAAUUCAAUGGUCCUUGUUAUCUGGUCAGGAGGAUUCAGACCCUCUGCUCAGGAGAGGAUCCAAAUCCCAAUACUAAUAAGCAUAGAAAUUGAUAAUUAGCACUACGGUAUAGUGAUAUUUUUUUUCAUUUAUUAAUGAAAUGUUUUAGGUUUGAUUUUUGUUAAAGGUAAACUUGAACCAUAAUAUUACUAGCCUAUUAUGAGGUUUAGUUCACUCUUCAUCCCCUUAAUAUAAAUAAUAUUGUUUGUUAAAAAAAAAAAAUCAUAGACCGUUUAUUGAGUACAUGAUUUUCACACGUGGGGUUCAUAGUAAAUUAGUAUACUAGAUAGAUGGGAUCCAAAAUAACAUGUUGCCACGCAUGAGACGUUGGUCAGAGUAAUGGACAAAUACCAGAAAAGAACGAAAACAAAGCAACCUGGAACGAAUUUUGAGUUUAAAGAAGUUCAGUAGCGGGUUUUCAGUUUCAAGAAACAAAGUAAGAUUAAAAUUAAGUUCCAGGAAAUAAAGUGUUAACUUUUGAAUUUCAAAAAACAACAUGAGGUUGAAAUCAACUUCUAAGAACGUAGCUAAAAAUAAGCCUAAUUCAAUAAUAUGCGGAUGAUAAUAAUUGGAGGAUAUAUAGAGCCAAAAAUGUACGGGUUUGACAGAUAUGUAUACCACAGAUCGAUGGAAGCCAGCCCAGGUUCCACAUUUCCCUCAGGUAUGGAGUAACAUGUCAUGCCAACUCGGUAGUACUGGCCGGAACGAAAUAGAUUAUUGUUCUUUUUAAAACCCAUACCUGCAGUAUAAUGGGAUGUUAUUGGAGUGGUACCCAGGCUCUGCGACCAACUCAGCUUUACCAGAAAACGAUUCAAUUUUCUAAAUGAUUUCUUGUAAUGCACCAGCAACUUUCCAUAUGUAUGGUGAAAGAAAGUUGAGAUCAAUAGCCAGAAAUAAUUAUAAGUAAUACAGUUCGACUACGUUAAGUAUGACUUUUUACGUAGAAAUCAACUGACAUCUUACAUCAUAUGUUAAAUAUGGUUAAAUAAUAAAUAAUAUGAAACUGAGAUGCUAAAUUGUUAGUGUUAAACUAAUCAUGCGAUGUUAUUGUAUAUUAUAUGAAUUUGCUAAAGUUUUCUAUCAAUUUGAGUGGAUGCAUGCAUGCAUGAUGUCUUCAUCGAAAUGAACCAGCCAAAAUUGCAUUAUUUGAAGAUUAUAAGACAAUAUACGUAAAGCCAACAAAGAGAAAAUACAUGGAAUUUGGAACGAUCCAAAAACCAACAAAUUGAGCGUCACAUAUAUAGAUAUACGAAGAGGGAUCAUGUUCCAGUUGUAUAUGCAUUUGUAUAUGCAUGUACUUUGCUCUGCUCCCUUAAUGGAAAAUGCAUGAAUUCUGAGCUUGAUCAAUAAUAUCUAAGUUCUACACCUUUUUACUUACGUGGUUUGUGCGUUACUAAGCUUAAUUAGCAUAUAUUUGAACUAAACGACUAAAAUGACAAAUCAAUAAGACCAAACCUUUCUAUAUUUUGAGGUGCAUGCAGUCGUGCAGGUUUGGAACAAAAUUCUGAGAUGAUUUACAUUCUUAAGGCUUAACUAAUGUGUUAUCCUUUGAAAGUGUUCUCAAGUUUCACGUUGCCUUUUAUUUAACGUGCCUUCUAGACCCGUAAACGGGUCGGGUUUAUCGGGUUUGAGUUGGGUUCAAUCUAACCCGUUAAAUUAACAGGUCAUCCGAACUCAACCCGUUAAGCUAAAAGGUCACUCGAACCCGACCCGUCAAACUAACGGGUCAUCCGUUUCACCCGUUAACAAUUAUUAUUAAUUUUUUUUUUCAUAAAGUUUAUUUUUUGUUGUUAAGACUUUACUGAAAUUACUAAAACAUCCUCAACUAACGGGUUUAACGGGUUGAUCCAAAGUGACCCGUUAUUUAACGGAUUCACCCGUUAACGACCCGACCCGUUAAGCACCCAUCCAAAUACUAAUAUUAACGGGUCGGGUCGGGUCCAAAAUGUCAGGUGCCUUCUAAAUCAUGUUUUGAUGUCCCAUUUUACUUCUGCGUUUAAGUUUGUUUAAUUUUCUUUUUUCGUUCAAGAUCGAUGCAGAUGUGAAAAGGUAUAUAAAGUGGGAUUCGUAAACAUAAUUAAAAGGGCAGGUUGGGUCAAAAUGACUUUCAAGGAAGUGAGGCUCGCAAACACACUUUCAGAAGGAAUAAAACACUAAUUAAUUAAUCUUAUUCUUCAGUACUUAAUUACCCCAUAACUCCAAUGUAUAACCAAAACUAAUUUCUUUAUUAAUUGGUUGCAUGGAUACAACCAAUUAACGUAAACUUGAUUGAAUUAGGGUUUGCACGUCAAUGUAAACUAAGUGAUUAACUGUUAAUGACACUAUAUUACUAGUCUUAUGUUAGGUUAAUUCCAACAAAGAAUAAAUAGUCGUGGCAUUGACACAUUUGCUAAGCGACAUCAUGCAUGUGACACGGAGUCAGAGACCGAAAGUUGAAAGUUGAAAGUUGAAAGUUGAAAGAUGGGAUUUCUUGAAUUGGUUUUGAUUGGUAAGAAUGUUGAAAGUUGAUUUGGAAUGCAGCCGUCGAUGGAGGAGGACAAAAAGAGAUUUUUUAAUGUGAUCGGCACACGAGAUGGUACAUCACGUGUCACUAUACAAAUGGUGAGAUAUGUGUAUUAAAAAGUUAAUAACUUAAAAAAUAAAAAUUUUCACCACUGACAUAAAAACACGUGGUGUACUACCCGUAUUCCCGUCACAAUUAAAAAUUUCUCGAGGACAAAGGCGUCCAAGCUUCGUCAACUUAAUCAGUUUCAAUGUUUCGCAGCCCAUAGCUUUUCUCUAGUCUUUGGUUGAAUCUUAGAAACCCCUUGGUUUUAGGAGAAAUAUUUAAUGAGUGACACAGUUGAUAAAUUAAAAUUAAUUCAUGACCGCAAGAUUGAAUCAAAUGGCGAAGAUGACUUGAUCCGUUGGUCCGAAGAUGAUAUGAAUCCGUUGAUUGUCCUACAUUUAGUUUAUAUUAAUAAAAAACAAACUCACAUGCUAUAAGUUUAUAAGUUAAGUUAAAUAACGUCGUGUAAUCGUGUUUCAAGUACAAUAAAAAAAUGUCUUGUUUUAUAACUUGAAAGGAAAAUUAACCACCACAUUCAGAUUCAACCACCGGUAAUUACUUAUUAAGUAGCCCACUCUCUCUGACAUAGCAUCAAGCCAGCCACCAAGCUUCUUUGAUCACGUGUUCUUUGUUCAAUGCAUGCAAGGAGGCUAGUUAAGCCAUGCAUUUGACAAAUAAUAUUUGAUUAAUUUGUUAACUAGCUAGUUCUAGAUCCUGUAAUCUAUUGUUUAGCAGAUGAUCGAUCGAAAGCUAAAUGUUUUCACUGAUUUGGGCGUAACUUUUUUUCUUUUCGUACGCUUCUCUCUUGUUGAUGAAUCAUGAGCAUUGCCUUUUUGUGGCGUGCCUUCCUUUGGCUUUUACUGCUUAAUUAAGCUAUAAUUGCGAAAAAAGAGAACAUGGAAAAUGUAAUUACAGUGUUACCAAUCCACAUAGUAUGAUAUAAGCAUUGAUAUAAUCGAUGUUCUAUUGAUCUAGAGCAUAAUCUAGACUAUAUGUUGUAACAUAUAUAAGUAAAAAGAUAGCACUAUAUAAUGACGUGACAAAAGAUGAUUAAUUAAAGGGAUUUUUUGAUAUAGGCGCCUCAAUUUUGAAUUUUCUAGAUCAAACAUCCAUGUCUCUUAGUGAUUUGAUUAAACUUUUUUAUGUCAUAAUUUUGGUGUUAUAUGCACAUUAUAUUGUAACAAAUUUUCUAUAAUCAGCCUUUUGAUUACACUCUCCUCCGUUAGAGAUAAUUGUAAAAAAAAAAAUGGUUAGAUUCAAUUUAUUUUCACAAUAAUGCUACAAUUUAGCAAUAAUUAUCUAUGAUUUAAGAUAUUUUCUUUCAAAAAUAGUUUAAAAUAUUUUUAAAUCCCAUAAAAUCAAACGUACCGAAAUAAGUUUUUCUUUUAGUACAUUAAGAGAAAAUAUGAUUGAGAAUAAUAAAAACGUACCAAUACACAAUUUGUACAAAAUAAAACGUACCAAAAUAAAAAUAAUGUACCAAUAUUAAUAAUAUGUAUCAAAUCAAACUUACCAAAAUUGCAAAUAAACGUACCAAUUAAUGAUUUUUGUAAAUUCAAAUGUACCCCCAAAUAAUAUAUACAUAAUGUAUUGUACCUAAUAAUAAUUUGUCAACAACUAUACUUAAAAAAAACAAAAAUAAAAUUAUAAUUUCACAAAAAAAAUUACACGGAGCUUUUAUGUUGAUCACCAACUAUUUGAAAAAAGAAAUAAUAUUAAAUGUUUGCAUAACAAAAAAAAAAUUGUGAUCGAAAAAACAUAUCUGGAAGAAGAGAUAAUAUAGUUUAAUUACUAAUAUCUCCACUAAAUAAGGAAAAGUGCAUCAUGCAGAUAAAAGGAUAAAUUCAAAAAUUAUUUUAAUUUUUAAAAAUCUAAUAAUGACAUGUAAUUUAGCUUGAGGUGGCUAUUGGUCAAAACACUUUAAUCAAAUUUUAAAAAGACACGGAUGUUUAAUUUAAAUGAUAUAGAAGACGCUAGGGGAUUCUAAUUUUAUCUAAAUUAAAUAUUAACAUACAUGCUCCCUCUCUCUAAACAUAUUAAUAAAGGAACUUUGGGACAUGCAUUUGUGCAUCCAUAAGACACUUUUCCUAGUUAGGUUCUAAAAGACACUUGGUGCUAGUCGGGUGGCGGGUUGGGGCUUAGCGGAUAGGCGGGACCUAGGCGGACUAGACAAAUUUAUGUAAAUCUAUUAUAGUUCAUGUAAAUAAGUGUCAAUUUAUACUUAAAAUAUAAACAAUUUCAUCAUAAACUACAAAAAUAGAAUGACAUAUAUAUUAUGAAGUAUUAGAACAUAGUGAAAACAUAGAUAACAAGCAUAUAAUGUGUGUUCAUUUAAGUUUACAACAUGUCUCUUACAAUUUAUUGAAAAAAAUAAAAUGCAAAAUGAAAGUUAUUUAUUUUCUGUCUAAGUAAGUCACAACCUAGGUAUGUGUCUAGGCGGGUCUGGGCGGGCUAGGCGUUCUAAGCGGGCGCCUCAGCAGGUCUAGAUGUCAUUUCUUAAUUUUCAAAUGUCUAGGCAUUAAUUGGGACGGUGUCUAGCCGUCUAGUGCCGAACAGUUUCUGGCUACUUUAAUAAUUCAAGUAGAGGUUCAUGACCACUAUCAACGUUGAAAAAAAGAAGUACUAUUACCAUAAACUAAAUUACAGUAAUUUUAAAAGAUGGCAUGCUUGGGAAAAAUGGUUAUGGAGUAAAACUUUUCUCCUCCUCUCCUGUCUUUCUCGCUCAAUUCUCUUCUUCUUUCUCUCUAUAAAACUUGAUUGUGACCUUCAAAUAAAAGGAAACGUGAGAGAAAGAUAAUUUAGAAAGAAGCGAAUCUUUUCUUCUAUAAAUAAAGCCGGAGACCAGUUUUAGUGUCAUGGCUUUGACAAAAAUAUUAGGAAAAAAUUGCCCCUCAACCAAAAAAAUCCAAAAGCAGCUUAAUAUAAUAUCUCAAAUAAUGCAAGGGUAAUUUGGUAAUUUGAUCAUCAUAAAAUAUAAUAUAAAUAUUAGUGGGAAGAGAAAAAAGAAUAAAAAAUGGAAGGAUGAGUGAAAGUUGAUGGUGGCCACAGGGGAAACAAAAAUAUGAUAAAAAAAAUAAGAAAAAUUAUGAAUAUUGUGUUCAAAACAUCUUAAGAGGCGCAUAAUGCUGGUGAUAAAUUUGUAAAGUUUUUUUUAAAAAAAUUAGUACCUUACAAUAGGCUAGCAAUAAUAUGAUUUAAUCAGAUGUUGUGAAUAGUGAUUUUGGUGUCACCAAGCUGUUCAAAACAUCUUAAGAUGCGUGUAAUGCCAGUUAUAAAAAGAGUCUUUCGCAUGCUGAUAAUAAUGUGAUUAAAUUAGUUGUCAAAUGAUUGUUUUUUUUAACAAAUGAUAUUAUCUACACAAAGGGGGAGGGGGUGAACUUAGCUUCACAAUGGGCUAGCAAUAAUAUGAUUCAAUCAAUUGUUCAUUCAAUAUUAUUUUCUCCAUUUUUAAACACGUUCAAAACAUCUUAAGAGGCGUGUAAUGCCGGUUAUAAAAAAAAAGUAUUUCUCAUGUGAAUAAUAAUAUGAUUAAAUUAGUUAUCAAAUGAUUUUUUUUUAACAAACGAUAUUAUCUACACUAAGGGAGAUUGGUGAGCUUAGCAUCAUAAUAGGCUAGUAAUAAUGUUAUUUAAUCAAUUGUUCAUUAAAUAUUAUUUUCUUUAUUCUUAUUAUAAAUUCUAUAGAGACCGAUUUUAUUAUGUGAAUUCAACUACUUUAAUUGGUUUAUGAGAGACUUCUUCUAGCGUGCUCUAAAAUUAUUCAUUUACUUCAAAUAUUUGACUUUCCUUUUGUCAAUUUAUGCAUAUAAAUACAUUUAGAAUAUGUAAGUCGAUCAUAACAUGUCGUAAUUAAAAAAAUGUCUUAUGCACGGACGUGAACGUGUGCAUGAAGAUUAGUAAACAUAUAAAAGUGGUAGGGGUCCAUUGGCCGCAGCCUCAGGACAAAAAUUGGUAGGGGUCCAUCAGGACGUGCUUACUGUUCCCUACUUACUUACAUACUUCCUCGAGUCCUGUUCUUUUUAAAUUUAUUUUAUUUCAAUUUCUAAUCUUAAUUUUAUUUUCUAAUUUAUCAUUUCCUUUUACACUUAGAUAUAUGUACUUGUAAAUUCUUCUUUAAUAGUGUAUUAUUUUGCUUUACCGUCUACAAUUACCAAAUUUGGAAAUUGGUACAUGGAUUCUCAUGUUUUGCAUUUAGACAGUGCAUUUACAUUUUUGUUAUACAAAAUUUAUAUGUAUUGUGUGUAAAUACAAAUGCUCAUAAUCGAAAAUGACAUGAUGUAUUUUUUUGUUCACUUGUUAUACUUUACCAUGUAUAUUUGGAUUAAAUUCUAAUACGUACCAUAAAUAUUUGAAUUUUGAUAAGAUCACAUUCGACUUGAACUAGUAAUUCGACAUAAAAGAUUAUAUAAAAAAAUCCAAGUUAUUUACGGAUCUGCCACUCCUUUAGAGCUAUAAAUUGCACCAUAGCUAUGGGUACUCCACUCAACAAAAAUAAAGGCUACACACAGAGCAUACAAACCAAGCAAUCCAAAGAGAAAUGGCGACUUUCCCAGUUGUUGACUUGAGCCUUGUCAAUGGUGAAGAGAGAGCAGCAACCUUGGAGAAGAUCAAUGAUGCUUGUGAGAACUGGGGUUUCUUUGAGGUAACCCAACAAGCUGUGAGAUCUUUUAUUUUUAUCCCUCCUCGAGGCACCAACUAGACGUCCGCCCCUCGUGUGCUUAGAGGGGAAAUCUGUAAAGUAAAUCUGUCUCUAAGCGCAAGAGGGUCGGAAAACAAAUGCGCCGCCCUAGUUGCUCAGUUUUAUGGUGCUGCGUUAGUUUCUGUAGAAUUAUGACAUUUCUAUGUGUUUCUAACUCUUUUGUGUGUAAAUAACUGAAGCUGGUGAACCAUGGGAUGUCUACUGAGCUUUUGGACACUGUGGAGAAGAUGACCAAGGAUCACUACAAGAAGACCAUGGAGCAAAGGUUUAAGGAAAUGGUGGCAGCCAAAGGCCUCGACGAUGUCCAGUCCGAAAUCCACGACUUGGACUGGGAAAGCACCUUCUUCUUGCGCCACCUUCCUUCCUCAAACAUUUCCGAAAUCCCUGAUCUCGAGGAAGAGUACAGGUCACACACUAAUCACAACAAGCUUAAUUAAUUUUCCACAUACUUGGGCUUAGUCAGGUUGGCUAGAGCACCCGUGCGGCCCCUCGUUGCACUUAAGUUCGAAUCUCCUCCAUGUAGGUUAGAUUGUAUUAGAAUAUCUUAUUGAUUUUCUUGUAUUUAUUUUGAACGAUAUUUCAGGAAGACCAUGAAGGAAUUUGCAGUGGAACUGGAGAAGCUAGCUGAGAAGCUUUUGGACUUGCUGUGUGAGAAUCUUGGACUCGAGAAGGGUUAUCUGAAGAAGGUUUUCUAUGGAUCCAAGGGUCCGAAUUUUGGGACCAAGGUCAGCAACUACCCUCCAUGCCCCAAGCCAGACCUGAUCAAGGGACUCCGGGCCCACAGCGACGCCGGUGGCAUCAUCCUGCUUUUCCAGGAUGACAAGGUCAGCGGCCUCCAGCUUCUCAAGGAUGGUGAAUGGGUGGAUGUCCCCCCAAUGCACCACUCCAUUGUCAUAAACUUAGGUGACCAGAUUGAGGUAUACCAGUUACCCGACUACCCAUUUUUUAUGGAACGGAAGUCUGAUGUGUCAUCAAUAUGUAUUGAUAUCAUUGUCGUCAACAAAACUUACAUACAUGUUACCAAUACAUUUCAAUUCUCGACCAAUAUAUAAUGAAGAGCGGACGUCAUGCACAUAUAACUAGUACUUUUGCUAUCAAGUUUACUGAAUCGUAUACUUUUAAUUAUUUGAUGCACAUAUAACUAGUACUUUCGCUAUCAAGUUUACUGAAUCGUAUACUUUUAAUUAUUUGAUGCAGGUGAUCACCAAUGGGAAGUACAAAAGUGUGAUGCACCGGGUGAUAGCUCAGUCGGAUGGGACCAGAAUGUCGAUAGCCUCGUUCUACAACCCAGGCAACGACUCAUUCAUCAGCCCAGCACCGGCAGUGCUUGAGAAGAAAACUGAGGACGCCCCAACUUAUCCCAAGUUUGUGUUUGAUGACUACAUGAAGCUGUAUUCUGGCCUGAAAUUCCAAGCCAAGGAGCCAAGAUUUGAAGCUAUGAAGGCCAAGGAAUCCACCCCUGUUGCAACUGCCUGAGCUCUGAGAGCCGUCCGAGAACAUGGCACAAAAAUAAUUAAAAUUAGGGUUUGGGUUUUAUGCUUUUGUGCCAAAUAAAGUUGGGGAGAAGAAAGUUUGGGUUUAUUUUGUUUUCUUUUAUUUUUUAUUCCACUGUUUGUGUAGUUGAAAUCUAUCUAUAUAAAAUACAAAUGUUUGCUCCACAAUUUUUGUAGUUGAAAUCUAUCUAUAUAAAAUACAAAUGAUUAGAUUCCAAAUACAAAUAAUUAGAUGCCUAAUACUCGAGGGACCCAUCACCAUGUUCUUCAAAGUUAAUUAAUCUUUCAUUAUGUUAAAUUAUAACAUGCAGAUUAGUAAAAUCAUGUGAUUGGGAUGG
This 13622-nucleotide long non-coding RNA is filed under the name Malus domestica (apple). Its description in RNAcentral is "long non-coding RNA (MDOM_LNC009770)". Lineage: Eukaryota; Viridiplantae; Streptophyta; Magnoliopsida; Rosales; Rosaceae. The record is from RNAcentral.